This is a long non-coding RNA of Xenia sp. Carnegie-2017, 499 nucleotides long. RefSeq lists it as uncharacterized. The transcript is spliced from 2 exons. Lineage: Eukaryota; Metazoa; Cnidaria; Anthozoa; Malacalcyonacea; Xeniidae. The record is from RefSeq and is a predicted model, not a curated record.
CCGGUUAUUAAGCCAAAGAGGUUUGGAUGCUAUUAAUAUUUUGUUUUGUCAUGAAGGAUCUGUACAACCAGGGAGAAAGUUAAGGGUAUGGAUAAUUCUGAAAUAUGUCAUUUGAUAAAAAAUGUAUAUAAACCAGAUAAAAAGUAUCAUUUUCCUAAAUCUAAUGGCAGAUCAUUUAGGCAUGAUUGGCUAGACCAGCAUGAAUGGCUUUGCUAUUCACCUUCACAAAAUGGUGCGUAUUGUCUAUCGUGUGUGUUGUUUGGCAAUAGAUUCCCAGGCAAGGCCAGUAAAGUAAAAAAGUUGUUUACUGAACCUCUUCAAGAUUGGAAGAAUGCUAAAUGCUCUUUCACUCAACAUGCUGGAAAAAGUAAAGGGAGGGAAGUCGGUUUGCAUGCAUCCACAUCACCAAUUUUGAUGCUUUGCGUUCCCAAAUAUCAGGUACUCUGCAGCCUAUCGAGAUGAUCAUGGAUGCUGGUAUCAAGAAAGAAAUAGAACAGAA